GUAGGCUAGAUCAGACGGGCGAUGGUUGUCCCGAUCUAAGCAAGUAGGCUGAGGACUUAGGUAAAUCCGGGUCCUUAAGGCUGAGAUGUGAUGGCGAGGCUCUCUUUUGAGCCGAGUGAUCGAUGCCAUGCUUCCAAGAAAAGCUUCUAAGCUUCAGGUAACAAGAGACCGUACUCUAAACCGACACAGGUGGUCAGG
This 198-nucleotide ribosomal RNA is filed under the name Kryptoperidinium foliaceum. RNAcentral's name for it is "partial Bacterial large subunit ribosomal RNA". It matches the Rfam family "Bacterial large subunit ribosomal RNA", at positions 1477 to 1671 of the family's 2925-position model. The record is from RNAcentral. Lineage: Eukaryota; Dinophyceae; Peridiniales; Kryptoperidiniaceae.